GACGAACGCUGGCGGCGUGCUUAACACAUGCAAGUCGAACGGAAAGGCCCUGCUUUUGUGGGGUUCUCGAGUGGCGAACGGGUGUGUAACACGUGAGUAACCUGCCCUUGACUUUGUGAUAACUUCAGGAAACUGGGGCUAAUACCGGCUAGGAGCUCCUGCUCCAUGUUGUGGGUUGGUAAGUUUCGGCGGUUGGGGAUGGACUCGCUGCUUAUCAGCUUGUUGGUGGGGUAGUGGCUUACCAAGGCUUUGACGGGUAGCCGGCCUGAGAGGGUUAACGGCGACAUUGGGACUGAGAUACGGCACAGAAUCCUACGGGAGGCAGCAGUGGGGAAUAUUGCAAAAUGGGGGGAAGCCUGAUGCAGAAACGCCGCGUGCGGGAUGACGGCCUUCGGGUUGUAAACCGCUUUCGCCUGUGACGAAGCGUGAGUGACGGUAAUGGGUAAAGAAGCACCGGCUAACUACGUG
This 468-nucleotide ribosomal RNA is filed under the name uncultured bacterium. RNAcentral describes it as "partial 16S ribosomal RNA". It matches the Rfam family "Bacterial small subunit ribosomal RNA", at positions 28 to 507 of the family's 1533-position model. The record is from RNAcentral.